RNAcentral lists this ribosomal RNA (506 nucleotides) under Semisulcospira forticosta. RNAcentral describes it as "partial 16S ribosomal RNA". It matches the Rfam family "Bacterial large subunit ribosomal RNA", at positions 1817 to 2597 of the family's 2925-position model. The record is from RNAcentral. Lineage: Eukaryota; Metazoa; Mollusca; Gastropoda; Semisulcospiridae.
GGCUCUUUGCUCACAUAAAUAUAAAGAGUCGAGCCUGCCCAGUGAAUUUUUUUUUAACGGCCGCGGUACUCUGACCGUGCAAAGGUAGCAUAAUCAUUUGCCUUAUAAUUGAAGGCUAGUAUGAAUGGUUUGACGAGAGCAACACUGUCUCCUUUUUAUUUUCAAAAACUUAACUUUUAGGUGAAGAGGCCUAAAUUUUAUUGAAGGACAAGAAGACCCUGUCGAGCUUAAAAGACAUUAUAGGAGUCUAAUAUAUUUUUAAAUAAAUUUCUGUUAAACUUUUUAGUUGGGGCGACUAAGGAACAAAAAAAGCUUCUUUCUAACGGAUAAACAAUCAUGUUUGGAUCCGAUAAUAGCGAUCAAAGAAAUUAGUUACCGCAGGGAUAACAGCAUAAUCUCUCUUAAGAGACCUAAUCGAAAGAGGGGGUUGUGACCUCGAUGUUGGACUAGAAUAUCCUAAAGAUGCAGAAGUCUUUAAGGGUCGGUCUGUUCGACCGUUAAAUUCU